CAAACCCAUUCAUAUAUUUUAUGGUAUUGAUGGAGGUGAAUUGUGGCUACAAAUGUGCCUGGUUUACCCCGUUGAAAUGUAUAGGCAGGACAAUGAACCUCAGCGAUAGACUUAGUAACUGUUCUGAAGACACGAACCAGUCCAUUGCUCGGUUCCGCCCUGGCCUCCAUGGACCUCCAUCCAAGAACUCUG
RNAcentral lists this unclassified non-coding RNA (192 nucleotides) under uncultured Tuberaceae. Its description in RNAcentral is "sequence contains ITS2". The record is from RNAcentral. Lineage: Eukaryota; Fungi; Ascomycota; Pezizomycetes; Pezizales; Tuberaceae.